AUGAACAGGGGAGGUUCAGACAGUGGCCUCGACCUCAGUGGCCUCAUCCUCCUCCUCCAGGAGGCUGUAGGAAGCGUGGCUCUGGCAGGGCCGCUGCAGGGGGUGAGCCAACAGUUUCACCAUGCAGUUGUGCAACUCCAGGGCAGGCCCAGCCAGUGCCACCUCAUACUUGUAGCUGGUCCCCUUGGUAUCCAGACUGCCCAUGAAGGCAAACAUGUCCUUCCAGCUCAUCUCCUCCUCCUUCUCCUCGGCACCAUUGUGGAUGUAAACAAGGUCAAAGAAGAAAUAUGGGCACUGGAACAUUUUCUUCAUGGGCUCCGUCAAGGAGAACUGGGGCUGGCAGGGUGGACGGCUGUAGACAAGGAUGGUGCGGACCACGUAUGGCGGGGGAAUCGUCUGCACGUUCUCUGUGACCGGAAACUCAGUUUUCUGCUGGCCAGGCCGUGUCGUCAUUCACCACCACCAGCGCAAACUCGUGGCUUUUGUCAAUCUUGUGUUUUGUCCUCACAAACAUCUCAAUCAUCUUCUGCGAGAUGUUUGAGGGCGUUGGUUUUGGAACCGUUGAACGAUUCCAGCUUUGGCAGUGACAUUUCCUCUGACAGGUCCAGGCAGAUAAUCACCUUCUCUGGACAGUUGACCCUUGGUGUCCGAAUCUGGACCUCAGGGGCCGGUGGGGGCACCUGCCAGGACUUAGGCCCAGCUCCUGAAGUGCUGGGACUCCCAUCAUCAGCACUGGCAGCCUCACCCUCACCCUCGCUGUGGCUGCCCACACUAGCCUGGGCCGCCACUGCCCGGUCCUCAGCCCCUUCGGGAUUGGAGCGAGUGUGGGGCCGAGGCUCUGCGGAGUGCUCUUCUUCUUCCUCCUCCUCUUCAGUGGGGCUACUGGGCUCUGCCACUUCCAUGGCUCCUGUGUGCCGUAGCCUGAACCUCCCUCCAAAUCAGCCGCCGACUCUCUAG
Molecule: long non-coding RNA, 957 nt
Filed under: Callithrix jacchus (white-tufted-ear marmoset)
Lineage: Eukaryota; Metazoa; Chordata; Mammalia; Primates; Cebidae
Description: lncRNA (ENSCJAG00000084778.1)
Source: RNAcentral